Molecule: long non-coding RNA, 160 nt
Organism: Lynx canadensis (Canada lynx)
Lineage: Eukaryota; Metazoa; Chordata; Mammalia; Carnivora; Felidae
Exons: 3
Source: RefSeq, a predicted model, not a curated record
AGAUCCCUGAGAAUGGCCACAUUCACUGGUGUCAGAGCCAGGAUGUGAGGGUGAAGCCUGGUGCCAGAUGUGUGCCGUGAUUUGCCGUAAUCCUUGAAAUGCUGCUGCUACAUGACUGCACAAACUUUUUUCUGGGAAGGGCUGAUCGGAAGAGCAUACG